This is a non-coding RNA of Oryzias latipes (Japanese medaka), 774 nucleotides long. The record is from RefSeq and is a predicted model, not a curated record. Lineage: Eukaryota; Metazoa; Chordata; Actinopteri; Beloniformes; Adrianichthyidae.
AGGCACAAGCCAAAAGUCUAAAAACGGAUAUUUGUGCAUCAUUGUUUGCCUUGUUUUCCAUCUAACUGGACAACCCGUAGCUCCACUGGAACUUGCUGGUUGAUUAAACGCCUCUAGCUUGAGGUUAAUUCCUCUGGGCACCUCAUCUGGAGUCACAUGGUCCUGUGGCCAAUAAUGUCCGGCAGAACCACGUCCCUCCAGGCGUCACUCGUGUUCAAUGGGGCAAGAAAGCACCCAGUGUCUCAAAAAUACUCAUUCCAAACAAUGCUUGGAACUCAAGCACAAGGGGGAAAAGGAUUCCUCUUCUGGUAUUACUUUACAUUCUCUGGAGAAGGAGAUGUAAGAUUUUGCUCUCCAAUUACCCGCUAAAUGUGAUGUGCUGUGCAUGUGAAGGUCUUCCGUGGCCCACUUCCUUCUGUCCUCCAAGUCCCCUCUUGCCUGUUUUUAGACAUGGGCGGGGUCUCAAGCGCUUCAGCCGGGGUGUAUGUUUCAAGACAGCUGUUGACAGCUCAACUGAACUCGAGAGGUCUCAAGUCUGACAGUGGGAGGAUCUUUAUGGUCCUCACUUGGAAGUCAUGGCCUUUCUCUGCUCACGUCUGGAAUCCUUGUUGAGCAUCUCCGGAUGUCCUGCAGGAUUACCAGCUGACUGCUCUCAUGCUUAUCUCCUCAUCUGUCAAAGCUGCAACUCUCUGCCUCUGCCUCUGCUGCCUGACAGGCAUCACUCACCCAGCAGCUGGCCUUCCAUAGGGGAUAACUAAUUUAUAUCCUCCCCUU